RNAcentral lists this ribosomal RNA (481 nucleotides) under uncultured bacterium. RNAcentral's name for it is "partial 16S ribosomal RNA". It matches the Rfam family "Bacterial small subunit ribosomal RNA", at positions 28 to 523 of the family's 1533-position model. The record is from RNAcentral.
GACGAACGCUGGCGGCGUGCUUAACACAUGCAAGUCGAACGCUGAAGCCCUUUCGGGGGUGGAUGAGUGGCGAACGGGUGAGUAACACGUGGGUAAUCUGCCCUGCACUCUGGGAUAAGCCUUGGAAACGGGGUCUAAUACCGGAUAGGACACAUCGCCGCAUGGUGUGUGUGUGGAAAGUUCCGGCGGUGCAGGUUGAGCCCGCGGCCUAUCAGCUUGUUGGUGGGGUGAUGGCCUACCAAGGCGACGACGGGUAGCCGGCCUGAGAGGGUGACCGGCCACACUGGGACUGAGACACGGCCCAGACUCCUACGGGAGGCAGCAGUGGGGAAUCUUGCGCAAUGGGCGAAAGCCUGACGCAGCAACGCCGCGUGGGGGAUGACGGCCUUCGGGUUGUAAACCUCUUUCGACCGGGACGAAGGGUGACUGACGGUACCGGUAGAAGAAGCACCGGCUAACUACGUGCCAGCCGCCGCCGUAA